CCAUGUGAACCUGCAGAUAGCUUCCAUUUACUUCGAGAGUGAACAGCUUUUCUGCCUCGCUAGGCCCGACGGCCAUUCAUCGUUUCUCGUGGCAGCUGGGUUUGCGACGGAUCGCUAUGGAUGGGCUGGAGUUCUUCUUCGAGGAAGCCAAAUCAGGUGGUUCGUUGCAGAUUGAUUCCCAGGGUGGAGGUCGGUGAUCUUUUAGGGGGCGGGGGGGAUAUCGCUGCUGUGGAAUUGGUCGUUGCUCGAACCCAAGCAAGAUUUUCAAGAUUGAUUUUCAGUACUGCUUGUGCUUGAAAUUCAGUUUACUAGCUGAAUAAUCAGCUGUUUGUCAAAUGGAAGAUUUUCAGAACUGCUUGUGCUUGCGUAGUUGUGAGCUUGUUUCUAUGUUUGUGUCGCUGUCGUGCAUCACUUGUUUAAAAAAAAAUCAUGUAAUGCACUGACUUUGUCAUGGUGCUCUGUUCAAGAGUGUGAGUAACUGUAUCAGCGAUUGGAAUUC
Molecule: long non-coding RNA, 499 nt
Organism: Triticum aestivum (bread wheat)
Lineage: Eukaryota; Viridiplantae; Streptophyta; Magnoliopsida; Poales; Poaceae
Exons: 2
Source: RefSeq, a predicted model, not a curated record